RNAcentral lists this ribosomal RNA (119 nucleotides) under Anolis carolinensis (green anole). Lineage: Eukaryota; Metazoa; Chordata; Lepidosauria; Squamata; Anolidae. The record is from RNAcentral.
UUUAACCGCCCAAAUAUUCUAAAAGCACCAGAUUUCAUCUGACCUUGGAAGCUAAGCAGUGAGAGUUCUAGUCAAUAUUUGGAUGGGGGAGCACCAAGGAAUACAAGAUGCUGUUGGCU